UGAGGAACAUGACCUUCGGCGGGGGAGUAGCCGGCCCAACGGCCGGGUAAUACCGCGUACGACCACAUGGGGACAUCCCUGAGUGGUGAAAGCAGCAAUGCGCGAUGGAGUGCCUCGCGGCCUAUCAGCUAGUUGGUGAGGUAAUGGCUCACCAAGGCGACGACGGGUAGCCGGCCUGGAGAGGGCGAUCGGCCACACUGGGACUGAGACACGGCCCAGGCUCCCGUAGGGGACGG
Molecule: ribosomal RNA, 236 nt
Filed under: uncultured bacterium
Lineage: Bacteria
Description: partial 16S ribosomal RNA
Rfam family: Bacterial small subunit ribosomal RNA
Source: RNAcentral